UACGUAGGAGGCAAGCGUUAUCCGGAUUUACUGGGCGUAAAGGGCGUGUAGGCGGCCCGUUAAGUGGUGUAUGAAAGGGCUCGGCUCAACUGGGAGAGGGCAUGCCAGACUGAGGGGCUAGAGAGCGAGAGAGGGAGGUGGAAUUCCGGGUGUAGUGGUGAAAUGCGUAGAUAUCCGGAGGAACACCAGUGGCGAAGGCGGCCUCCUGGGCCGCAUCUGACGCUGAGACGCGACAGCCAGGGGAGCGAAC
This 250-nucleotide ribosomal RNA is filed under the name uncultured Anaerolineae bacterium. RNAcentral's name for it is "partial 16S ribosomal RNA". It matches the Rfam family "Bacterial small subunit ribosomal RNA", at positions 524 to 773 of the family's 1533-position model. Lineage: Bacteria; Bacillati; Chloroflexota; Anaerolineae. The record is from RNAcentral.